GAUGAACGCUGGCGGCGUGCUUAACACAUGCAAGUCGAACGGAAAGGCUCCUGCUUGCCGGGGUCCUCGAGUGGCGAACGGGUGAGUAACACGUGGGUGAUCUGCCCUGCACUUCGGGAUAAGCCUGGGAAACUGGGUCUAAUACCGGAUAGGACCACAUUUUGGAUGGUGUGGUGGAAAGUUUUUCGGUGUGGGAUGAGCUCGCGGCCUAUCAGCUUGUUGGUGGGGUAAUGGCCUACCAAGGCGUCGACGGGUAGCCGGCCUGAGAGGGUGUACGGCCACAUUGGGACUGAGAUACGGCCCAGACUCCUACGGGAGGCAGCAGUGGGGAAUAUUGCACAAUGGGCGCAAGCCUGAUGCAGCGACGCCGCGUGGGGGAUGACGGCCUUCGGGUUGUAAACUCCUUUCGCUAGGGACGAAGCGCAAGUGACGGUACCUGGAGAAGAAGCACCGGCUAACUACGUG
RNAcentral lists this ribosomal RNA (465 nucleotides) under uncultured bacterium. Its description in RNAcentral is "partial 16S ribosomal RNA". It matches the Rfam family "Bacterial small subunit ribosomal RNA", at positions 28 to 507 of the family's 1533-position model. The record is from RNAcentral.